RNAcentral lists this ribosomal RNA (253 nucleotides) under uncultured bacterium. Its description in RNAcentral is "partial 16S ribosomal RNA". It matches the Rfam family "Bacterial small subunit ribosomal RNA", at positions 524 to 776 of the family's 1533-position model. The record is from RNAcentral.
GACGUAGGGCGCGAGCGUUAUCCGGAUUUAUUGGGUUUAAAGGGUGCGUAGGCGGACCAAUAAGUCAGUGGUGAAAGCCUGAUGCUUAACAUCAGAAUUGCCAUUGAUACUGUUAGUCUUGAGUAUGGUUGAGGUGGGCGGAAUGUGUCAUGUAGCGGUGAAAUGCUUAGAUAUGACACAGAACACCAAUUGCGAAGGCAGCUCGCUAAGCCAUAACUGACGCUGAGGCACGAAAGCGUGGGGAGCAAACAGG